GGGCCCGCGUUUCAUUAGCUAGUUGGUGAGGUAACGGCUCACCAAGGCGACGAUGGGUGGCCGGCCUGAGAGGGUGUACGGCCACACUGGGACUGAGACACGGCCCAGACUCCUACGGGAGGCAGCAGUAGGGAAUAUUGCGCAAUGGGGGCAACCCUGACGCAGCGACGCCGCGUGAGCGAUGAAGGCCUUCGGGUUGUAAAGCUCUGUCAUUGGGGAAGAAAUAGUGACGGUACCCCUGGAGGAAGCCCCGGCUAACUACGUGCCAGCAGCCGCGGUAAAACGUAGGGGGCGAGCGUUGUCCGGAAUUACUGGGCGUAAAGGGCGUGUAGGCGGUUAAGAAAGUCAGCUGUGAAAACCCAGGGCUUAACCCUGGACCUGCAGUUGAAACUUCUUAACUUGAGUGCAGGAGAGGAGAGUGGAAUUCCCGGUGUAGCGGUGACAUGCGUAGAUAUCGGGAGGAACACCAGUGGCGAAAGCGACUCUCUGGCCUGUAACUGACGCUGAGGCGCAAAGCGUGGGGAGCAAACA
Molecule: ribosomal RNA, 531 nt
Filed under: uncultured low G+C Gram-positive bacterium
Lineage: Bacteria; Bacillati; Bacillota
Description: bacterial SSU rRNA
Rfam family: Bacterial small subunit ribosomal RNA
Source: RNAcentral